CUGUAUAUCGGCGAUGGGGUUCGCCAUACAUACCGUACAUCGGUUAUGACUCCUACCACAUC
RNAcentral lists this non-coding RNA (62 nucleotides) under Propionispora sp. 2/2-37. RNAcentral's name for it is "Fluoride riboswitch aptamer (crcB RNA motif)". It matches the Rfam family "Fluoride riboswitch aptamer (crcB RNA motif)". The record is from Rfam by way of RNAcentral. Lineage: Bacteria; Bacillati; Bacillota; Negativicutes; Selenomonadales; Sporomusaceae. RNAcentral also lists the same sequence under 1 other name.